AAAUUGAAGAGUUUGAUCAUGGCUCAGAUUGAACGCUGGCGGCAGGCCUAACACAUGCAAGUCGAACGGUAACAGGAAGCAGCUUGCUGCUUUGCUGACGAGUGGCGGACGGGUGAGUAAUGUCUGGGAAACUGCCUGAUGGAGGGGGAUAACUACUGGAAACGGUGGCUAAUACCGCAUAACGUCGCAAGACCAAAGAGGGGGACCUUCGGGCCUCUUGCCAUCAGAUGUGCCCAGAUGGGAUUAGCUUGUUGGUGAGGUAACGGCUCACCAAGGCGACGAUCCCUAGCUGGUCUGAGAGGAUGACCAGCCACACUGGAACUGAGACACGGUCCAGACUCCUACGGGAGGCAGCAGUGGGGAAUAUUGCACAAUGGGCGCAAGCCUGAUGCAGCCAUGCCGCGUGUAUGAAGAAGGCCUUCGGGUUGUAAAGUACUUUCAGCGGGGAGGAAGGUGUUGUGGUUAAUAACCGCAGCAAUUGACGUUACCCGCAGAAGAAGCACCGGCUAACUCCGUGCCAGCAGCCGCGGUAAUACGGAAGGUGCAAGCGUUAAUCGGAAUUACUGGGCGUAAAGCGCACGCAGGCGGUCUGUCAAGUCGGAUGUGAAAUCCCCGGGCUCAACCUGGGAACUGCAUUCGAAACUGGCAGGCUUGAGUCUUGUAGAGGGGGGUAGAAUUCCAGGUGUAGCGGUGAAAUGCGUAGAGAUCUGGAGGAAUACCGGUGGCGAAGGCGGCCCCCUGGACAAAGACUGACGCUCAGGUGCGAAAGCGUGGGGAGCAAACAGGAUUAGAUACCCUGGUAGUCCACGCCGUAAACGAUGUCUACUUGGAGGUUGUGCCCUUGAGGCGUGGCUUCCGGAGCUAACGCGUUAAGUAGACCGCCUGGGGAGUACGGCCGCAAGGUUAAAACUCAAAUGAAUUGACGGGGGCCCGCACAAGCGGUGGAGCAUGUGGUUUAAUUCGAUGCAACGCGAAGAACCUUACCUGGUCUUGACAUCCACAGAACUUUCCAGAGAUGGACUGGUGCCUUCGGGAACUGUGAGACAGGUGCUGCAUGGCUGUCGUCAGCUCGUGUUGUGAAAUGUUGGGUUAAGUCCCGCAACGAGCGCAACCCUUAUCCUUUGUUGCCAGCGAUUAGGUCGGGAACUCAAAGGAGACUGCCAGUGAUAAAACUGGAGGAAGGUGGGGAUGACGUCAAGUCAUCAUGGCCCUUACGACCAGGCUACACACGUGCUACAAUGGCGCAUACAAAGAGAAGCGACCUCGCGAGAGCAAGCGGACCUCAUAAAGUGCGUCGUAGUCCGGAUUGGAGUCUGCAACUCGACUCAUGAAGUCGGAAUCGCUAGUAAUCGUGGAUCAGAAUGCCACGGUGGAAUACGUUCCCGGGCCUUGUACAGCACCGCCCGUCACACCAUGGGAGUGGGGUUACAAAAGAAGUAGGUAGCUUAACCUUCGGGAGGGCGCUUACCACUUUGUGAUUCAUGAACUGGGGUGAAGUCGUAACAAGGUAAACCGUAGGGGAACCUGCGGUUGGAUCACCUCCUUACCUUAAAGAA
This 1556-nucleotide ribosomal RNA is filed under the name Salmonella enterica subsp. enterica serovar California. RNAcentral describes it as "16S ribosomal RNA". It matches the Rfam family "Bacterial small subunit ribosomal RNA". Lineage: Bacteria; Pseudomonadati; Pseudomonadota; Gammaproteobacteria; Enterobacterales; Enterobacteriaceae. The record is from RNAcentral.